CCCUACGGGAGGCAGCAGUGGGGGAUAUUGCACAAUGGGGGAAACCCUGAUGCAGCAACGCCGCGUGGGUGAAGGAGCGUUUCGGCGCGUAAAGCCCUGUCAGCGGGGAAGAAGAAAGACGGUACCCGACCAAGAAGCCCCGGCUAACUACGUGCCAGCAGCCGCGGUAAUACGUAGGGGGCGAGCGUUAUCCGGAAUUACUGGGUGUAAAGGGAGCGUAGACGGCUGUGCAAGUCUGGAGUGAAAGGCGGGGGCCCAACCCCCGGACUGCUCUGGAAACUGUAUGGCUGGAGUGCAG
This 298-nucleotide ribosomal RNA is filed under the name uncultured bacterium. Its description in RNAcentral is "partial 16S ribosomal RNA". It matches the Rfam family "Bacterial small subunit ribosomal RNA", at positions 337 to 651 of the family's 1533-position model. The record is from RNAcentral.